This 394-nucleotide ribosomal RNA is filed under the name uncultured bacterium. Its description in RNAcentral is "partial 16S ribosomal RNA". It matches the Rfam family "Bacterial small subunit ribosomal RNA", at positions 338 to 729 of the family's 1533-position model. The record is from RNAcentral.
CCUACGGGUGGCAGCAGUGAGGAAUAUUGGUCAAUGGGCGAGAUCCUGAACCAGCAAAGCCGCGUGAGGGAAGACGGCCCUAUGGGUUGUAAACCUCUUUUGUCGGAGAACAAAACCCGGGACGUGUCCCGGACUGCGUGUAUCCGAAGAAAAAGCAUCGGCUAACUCCGUGCCAGCAGCCGCGGUAAUACGGAGGAUGCGAGCGUUAUCCGGAUUUAUUGGGUUUAAAGGGUGCGUAGGCGGUCGGAUAAGUUAGAGGUGAAAUCCCGAGGCUCAACUUCGGAAUUGCCUUUGAUACUGUGCGGCUUGAGAGUAGUUGAGGUAGGCGGAAUUAAUGGUGUAGCGGUGAAAUGCUUAGAGAUCAGACAGAACACCGAUGGCGAAGGCAGCUGAC